This 430-nucleotide long non-coding RNA is filed under the name Polistes fuscatus (common paper wasp). RNAcentral's name for it is "uncharacterized LOC122523610". Lineage: Eukaryota; Metazoa; Arthropoda; Insecta; Hymenoptera; Vespidae. The record is from RNAcentral.
CGCUCGAAGAAGACUAACAACGAAAUGGGAAAUAUCUACUCAAUGUAUCCGACGAACACCGAAAGUACACGAAGGUUAAUGUGUUUACAAGUUCGACGACGAAAUUUUAAACAAAAAAAAACCAAACGUAACAUUGGAAUACAAACACCGGCUGAAGAGUGAGAGAGAUACGAAUGUCGGAACUUUCGCCGAUGCAGAAAGGUCUUAUUGAAAUGCAGAGGUACCCUCCGAAGUGGAAGUCACUUUCGGGAGUCCCGAAAUAACAGGCUAGCGGACAACGUGCGGAGAAUCCUUCGCUUCCUGAAACGGCCAUCGGGCGAGAUACGAAUUCGUAAUUGACAUGGUGGCACUCACUAUACGUCAGCUUUAUACCCAAGCAUUCUCCACGAACAAACAGGAGAAAACCUAAAUAAAAAUAACAUCCUCCGUU